Long non-coding RNA from Dermacentor andersoni, 1028 nucleotides. RefSeq lists it as uncharacterized. Lineage: Eukaryota; Metazoa; Arthropoda; Arachnida; Ixodida; Ixodidae. The record is from RefSeq and is a predicted model, not a curated record.
UUUUUUUUUCUUGUAAUGGAGUUUUCCCAGCUUUGGCUAUGGUUAUUUUAAAAUAUUGGCAGCCGAAAUUGAACAGUCAUUAGAUAAAUGUAUCUUGUGUAAACCUAACAUGCUGAACAAAACGUAUUUUCCACCGCUUAAAAAAUUAUAACGCAAAGAAAAAAAAAAAACUCCGUCGAGCCGGAUUCGAACCAGCGACCUAUGGAUGUCCAUAGUCGAAACCUCUACAGUCCACCGCUCUACCAACUGAGCUAUCGACGGGAACGACGAGUGGCGCUUGUCUUUCAUACAACAUGACUGAGAACAGUACUUGUAUAAAUAUGAGACUUGUUAAAAAAAGCGAUUGUGCGCUCACCGCUGCACUAGUUCUGCCUAAAAUUUUGCAGAACGGUCGUAUUUUGGCGUCGACUUCGUUUAGUAUAACACUUGGCACAGUUAAUAGCCUGGUUUCUAAGAAAAAAAAUUAGACACUGUUUGUAUCUAUGGGAAAAAUGGCGUUUGAAAAACCGGCCCUGGCACAGGCCUGCUUCUGGAACAAGCGACUGCCCUCCUUGAAACGUUGCUUUCCGCAUGACAAAAGGUGCCGACAGAAGUUUAUGCUUGCAUACCCAUAAGCGCCGAAAUGCGAUCGUUCUGCAAAAUAUGAGCAAGAACAGUGCAGCGAUAAUUCCAGAAGCCGAUAUGCUUUCCGGACGAAACAUAAGCUUGUUCCAAUCACACACACCAAUUACGGCAAGCAAACACUCAGCUACCAAAUUCCCACGGUACAUCAUGCAGAAACAAAGGAGUGAGCAUGAAGCAACAGCAGCACCUGGCAAAAGUAGUUCAUCCUCCAUCAACAGCAGUGACAGAAAAAAUGCAGUAGGCUAUGGCUGCACAUACCAAUGCAAACUGUGUCUCUCAAUCCCAGGAUGCAUGCCUAGGCUGUAGGGGUAUUAAGCUUUAUUCAGCUCCCAUGGUCCGCAAAGCUUUUGCCUCAUCUAUCAUACACAUAUGCAUUCCCUGAAGAAAGAGAGUGGGACAACUGA